UACGUAGGGUGCAAGCGUUGUCCGGAAUUAUUGGGCGUAAAGAGCUCGUAGGCGGCUUGUCGCGUCGGCUGUGAAAACUCGGGGCUCAACUCCGAGCUUGCAGUCGAUACGGGCAGGCUAGAGUUCGGCAGGGGAGACUGGAAUUCCUGGUGUAGCGGUGAAAUGCGCAGAUAUCGGGAAGAACACCCGUGGCGAAGGCGGCUCUCUGGGACGGUACUGACGCUGAGACGCGAAAGCGUGGGGAGCGAACAGG
Molecule: ribosomal RNA, 253 nt
Filed under: uncultured bacterium
Lineage: Bacteria
Description: partial 16S ribosomal RNA
Rfam family: Bacterial small subunit ribosomal RNA
Source: RNAcentral